Molecule: ribosomal RNA, 434 nt
Filed under: uncultured Serratia sp.
Lineage: Bacteria; Pseudomonadati; Pseudomonadota; Gammaproteobacteria; Enterobacterales; Yersiniaceae
Description: bacterial SSU rRNA
Rfam family: Bacterial small subunit ribosomal RNA
Source: RNAcentral
AACGCGAAGAACCUUACCUACUCUUGACAUCCAGAGAACUUUCCAGAGAUGGAUUGGUGCCUUCGGGAACUCUGAGACAGGUGCUGCAUGGCUGUCGUCAGCUCGUGUUGUGAAAUGUUGGGUUAAGUCCCGCAACGAGCGCAACCCUUAUCCUUUGUUGCCAGCGGUUCGGCCGGGAACUCAAAGGAGACUGUCAGUGAUAAACUGGAGGAAGGUGGGGAUGACGUCAAGUCAUCAUGGCCCUUACGAGUAGGGCUACACACGUGCUACAAUGGCGUAUACAAAGAGAAGCGACCUCGCGAGAGCAAGCGGACCUCAUAAAGUACGUCGUAGUCCGGAUUGGAGUCUGCAACUCGACUCCAUGAAGUCGGAAUCGCUAGUAAUCGUAGAUCAGAAUGCUACGGUGAAUACGUUCCCGGGCCUUGUACACACCG